GACUACAGGGAUUCCCCCUAGUAACGGCGAGUGAAGCGGGAACAGCUCAAAUUUGAAAUCUUGCAGGGCUUACCUGCUACGAAUUGUAGUUUAGAGAAACGUUUUCGGACGUGAUGUGGGUAUAAGUCCUUUGGAAUGAGGCAUCAUAGAGGGUGAGAAUCCCGUUCUUGGCCCAUAACUCAUGUCUAUGCGAUACGUUUUCAACGAGUCGGUUUGUUUGGGAAUGCAGACCAAAAUGGGUGGUAAAUACCAUCUAAAGCUAAAUAUUGGCGAGAGACCGAUAGCGAACAAGUACCGUGAGGGAAAGAUGAAAAGAACUUUGAAAAGAGAGUUAAACAGUACGUGAAAUUGUCAAAAGGGAAACGCUUGAAACCAGUAUUGCUUCCAAGUAAUCAGCCAUGUCUCGCGAUAUGGUGCACUUGCUUGUCAGCAGGUCAACAUCAGUUUGGUUUGGGGAAAAAAACCAGAGAAAGGUAGCCCCUUGGGUGUUAUAGUCUCUGGUGCUGCCCUGGACUGGACUGAGGACUGCAGCAUUUUUGGGUAGCCAGUCGCUUCCUGAAACCUUUCGGCAGACAGCAUGCUGACUGUUGAAAAACGUAGGGAAUACGGUUGGUGAUCUACACCAAUGCUUAGGAUGUUGACGAAAUGGUUUUAAACGACCCGUCUUGAAACACGGACCAAGGAGUCUAACAUAUAUGCGAGUAUUUGGGUGGCAAACCCUUAUGCGUAAUGAAAGUGAACUUAGGUGGGAUCUUAUGAGCACCAUCGACCGGUCUGGAUUUUUUUGAUAGAUCUGAGUAAGAGCAUAUCUGUUGGGACCCGGAAGAUGGUGAACUAUGCCUGAAUAGGGUGAAGCCAGAGGAAACUCUGGUGGAGGCUCGUACCGAUUCUGACGUGCAAAUCGAUCGUCAAAUUUGGGUAUAGGGGC
This 928-nucleotide ribosomal RNA is filed under the name uncultured fungus. Its description in RNAcentral is "LSU rRNA". It matches the Rfam family "Eukaryotic large subunit ribosomal RNA", at positions 56 to 924 of the family's 3401-position model. Lineage: Eukaryota; Fungi. The record is from RNAcentral.